Drosophila obscura is the source of this 1743-nucleotide long non-coding RNA. RefSeq lists it as uncharacterized. The transcript has 3 exons. NCBI's taxonomy places the organism in Eukaryota, Metazoa, Arthropoda, Insecta, Diptera, Drosophilidae. The record is from RefSeq and is a predicted model, not a curated record.
UAGACAAUUCAAUUUAUUUAAUCAAAUUCAUACAACUUUGGUUUUAACUGACAUUUUUAAUAUCAGUGCUGUUUCGAUAUACUACUUGUAUAUAUAGAACAUAAAGUAUAUUACUUUUUGCCGUUGAUGUCCGUGUAGGCUGAGAAAGCGCCCCUGUAGGCACUAGCCGACGACACGAGGAGAGCAGCGAGUACAAAUGCGAAGACCUUCAUUUUGUUUGAAUACAAUGAGACUUAGGAAACAGCUAGAGUUUAUAUAGCAAACCAAUGCAGACUAAACCGCACGGACUAAUGGGCGAAUCUAAAUUAUUUAGCGGAAUAAUUGUAUCGGAAUGCAUUAAAAAAUGCAUUUAAAUGCAUUAGAAACACAUUCCAUUCUCGUUUGUUACAAGCAAAUUAUCCAUGCCAUACAUACAUGCCAAAAAGUUUUUCAUGACUCAACAGCUUCUAGGGAAUUCUCGUUUCUUUUCGGUCCUUUUGUUCCUUGGGUAUGUUCUCCAGCAUAUUGUUCCGCAAAUCUUAUUUAUGCACUCCUUUAUAAAAACAUUGUCUAUGUAGGCUAUGUUGUAUUUCAGAAUAGAGAAGUAAAUGAUUUGAGCUAGUUAGUUGUAUAAAUUCCCUUUAAAGAUUUAUUUUUAUUCUCAACAAAAAACAACACAUUAUUCAUUUACAUACAUUACAAUGGGACGAAGUUACCUCAAUAAUUGGACCUACUAAAAUGAAAAUAAUGAUAAGCUGGUCAAGGGGAUACUACAAACACAAACUGCAUGGCUCUAACGGCUAAUGGCACUUGGAGUAGUGAACCCAACCAGGUCGCGGCCCACUCCCUGGUCCUUCUGCUCCUCAGGGUGGUAGCUAACGCCUUAAUCGAUUUUACCUACAAAAACGGUACGUCAAAGUGAAGUCAAAGCCACCAUAAAACAUGGUAAUGCCAUGAGGUUUAUAGAGAAAUAUUUCAAAAGCCAUUGAUGUGUGGUGUCUGUCACAGCUGUCACAAGGAAAAAAAUAUAUAACAAACCCAUUAUUUUUCGACAACGCAAACAAAAAUCAAAAUUAAUAAACACAACACGAAUAAAAAAUUUGCAAUUUAUUUUCUGAACAAUGAACAACAAUGGAUACGAGGGCUCAGCAGGAGGGAGAUGAUUGACAUUGUGAUAAACAGGAAAAAAUAAAACAACAGGAUUUUAAUCGUUGCGUACACAAAACCCCAAUGUCGAUCCUACCUGCUGCCAUUUUUUUUACAAUAAGAGGGCCGCCUCCUCUGAAAAUAUCUUCGCUUCUGUAAUGUGGACCUAACUGAGCAGAAAAUAGCGACAUACUGCGUCGAAUCUAUUUUCUGUUGCCAUAACCCUAAUUACGCAGAUGCAAAAACUAUGGGAGUUGCCUGAUUGUAUCUCUUUGGGAGCAAAUAUUCCCAUUCCCAUACAUAUGUGUCAAACAGGGGAAGCCAACAUCGAUUAACCCAAGCAACACGUACUCUAUUUUUAUUGAAUUGGACGCCAGAGAACAAAGUCACAGGAGGAAGAAGAGAAAAGGGGCAAUGGCACCAGCAGGAAUGCCACAAACUAUUACCAAAGUAAACAGAGCCAAACAAAAACGUCUCUGGAGGAAAACUAUGUGAAAAGAAGAAAGACACACACAGAGAACAGGCAAACAGCGUGUGAGCUGAAAAAGAAAAAAGAAAGAAAAAUGUGCAAAAGAAGAGUUGACAUAAGGUGUAUGCUCCAUCGAAUAAAGCUUUUUC